CCUACGGGAGGCUGCAGUGGGGAAUCUUGGACAAUGGGCGCAAGCCUGAUCCAGCGACGCCGCGUGACUGAUGAAGCCUUUCGGGGUGUAAAAGUCUUUCGGCAGGGACAAUGAUGAUGGUACCUGCAGAAGCAGCUGCGGCUAACUACGUGCCAGCAGCCGCGGUAAUACGUAGGCAGCUAGCGUUGUUCGGAAUUACUGGGCGUAAAGCGAGUGUAGGCGGUUUGCCAAGUCCUGUGUGAAAUCUCCCGGCUCAACUGGGAGGGUGCGCCGGAAACUGGCAGGCUAGAGUGCGGAAUGGGAGAGUGGAAUUCCUGGUGUAGCGGUGAAAUGCGUAGAUAUCAGGAGGAACACCGGUGGUGAAGACGGCUCUCUGGACCGCAACUGACGCUGAGACUCGAAAGCGUGGGGAGCAAACAGGAUUAGAUACCCUAGUAGUC
RNAcentral lists this ribosomal RNA (440 nucleotides) under uncultured bacterium. RNAcentral describes it as "bacterial SSU rRNA". It matches the Rfam family "Bacterial small subunit ribosomal RNA", at positions 338 to 795 of the family's 1533-position model. The record is from RNAcentral.